GAAUUACUUAAGCAUACGCGUUGUUACAUCAUCAGCUUUUUCCUUACAACCUUUAUUUUUGGAUGAGGAUACUUAAACGCCAAGGCAAGCCCUUUCGUUUGGUAGUCUGAACUUUAAGUGAUUCACCCACCUCGAAAUUUCGAGGAAAAUCUGCGUAGCGAUUAACGGUGCUAUAUAAGUUUUCCC
Molecule: non-coding RNA, 186 nt
Filed under: Convivina intestini
Lineage: Bacteria; Bacillati; Bacillota; Bacilli; Lactobacillales; Lactobacillaceae
Also listed under: 1 other name
Source: RNAcentral